RNAcentral lists this ribosomal RNA (873 nucleotides) under uncultured organism. RNAcentral describes it as "bacterial SSU rRNA". It matches the Rfam family "Bacterial small subunit ribosomal RNA", at positions 1 to 869 of the family's 1533-position model. The record is from RNAcentral.
GGCUUAGAGUUUGAUCAUGGCUCAGGAUGAACGCUAGCUACAGGCUUAACACAUGCAAGUCGAGGGGCAGCAUGAUUGAAGCUUGCUUCAAUCGAUGGCGACCGGCGCACGGGUGAGUAACACGUAUCCAACCUGCCGAUAACUCGGGGAUAGCCUUUCGAAAGAAAGAUUAAUACCCGAUAGCAUAGUAUUUCCGCAUGGUUUCACUAUUAAAGAACUUCGGUUAUCGAUGGGGAUGCGUUCCAUUAGAUAGUUGGCGGGGUAACGGCCCACCAAGUCAACGAUGGAUAGGGGUUCUGAGAGGAAGGUCCCCCACAUUGGAACUGAGACACGGUCCAAACUCCUACGGGAGGCAGCAGUGAGGAAUAUUGGUCAAUGGACGAGAGUCUGAACCAGCCAAGUAGCGUGAAGGAUGACUGCCCUAUGGGUUGUAAACUUCUUUUAUACGGGAAUAAAGUGGAGUAUGCAUACUCCUUUGUAUGUACCGUAUGAAUAAGGAUCGGCUAACUCCGUGCCAGCAGCCGCGGUAAUACGGAGGAUCCGAGCGUUAUCCGGAUUUAUUGGGUUUAAAGGGAGCGUAGGCGGGUGCUUAAGUCAGUUGUGAAAGUUUGCGGCUCAACCGUAAAAUUGCAGUUGAUACUGGGCGCCUUGAGUGCAGCAUAGGUAGGCGGAAUUCGUGGUGUAGCGGUGAAAUGCUUAGAUAUCACGAAGAACUCCUAUUGCGAAGGCAGCUUACUGGACUGUAACUGACGCUGAUGCUCGAAAGUGUGGGUAUCAAACAGGAUUAGAUACCCUGGUAGUCCACACAGUAAACGAUGAAUACUCGCUGUUGGCGAUACACAGUCAGCGGCCAAGCGAAAGCAUUAAGUAUUC